Aedes albopictus (Asian tiger mosquito) is the source of this 1477-nucleotide long non-coding RNA. RefSeq lists it as uncharacterized. The transcript is spliced from 2 exons. Lineage: Eukaryota; Metazoa; Arthropoda; Insecta; Diptera; Culicidae. The record is from RefSeq and is a predicted model, not a curated record.
CACGCGCUCCAAUCAUGAAUGCAUGUUGGAUGCAUCCUGCUGCACCCGCCGUCGCAGUCAGUGGAGCAGCAGCAGUAGAUGCUCUUUCGCAAAACACAACCUUCGCCCGACCGGUCGACCGACCACGACCACCCAACAACCCAACAGCUCAACGAGAGUUUGUUUGGGGGAAAAUCUCAACCCAUUCAAGAGCACGCGGAGAAAAUUCCUCAAUGACGAAGAGAGCAUUUGCGACGAGAGAGUGCUCCACUGACUCACUGACUCUGUCCGCACCGACGACGACCCGACCGAGAGCGCGCUGGAUCAUGGUCCAUGGAUUGCUGGUUGGUCGAUUGGGGGAGCUCGAAUUAAAGCUCCCCAAUAACUGUAUCGUUAGUAUUGUGGAGUACGCGGCAUCGUUCGGUCGGUUCUUUCGGCACUGGUUCUCGUCGUGGUUAGUGGAAUGUGCUACUACUUGCUGUGGUACAAAGUUAUUCGCGCGCGCCGUGCUACGGUUUUUUGCCCUGCAGCAGCAGCAGCAGCAGCCCAUACUCAGCUGUGCAGCAGCGACUGCGAGUUCUGCUGAGUAGCAGCAAGGGCUCCCCCCGGAUUGCUGUGACUCUUGAAGAGCGCGCGCGGGUGGAGAAAGGUGAAGAGUGCGUUCGUUCGCUGCAAUCGCGCGUCCGCCCGCCAGCCCGCCUGAUUCGUGCGGUUGUGGUGUGAGUCUUUUUUUCUGGUGAAGAAAUCCGUCUCGGGUGCGAAGUUGGUUGGUGAGUGAAGUCGCAGUAAGACGAACCGGUUGUCAUAUGUUCCCGGUUGUUGUACCACGACGCGGUGACCGGUGGUAUAGUGUGUGUCGACGACGACGACUUAUGAAUGGGUCCUAGGGUAUGACGGGACGGGACGGGAUGCGGGAGUUGAAAUGCCAACGGCGACUACGGAUCCAAAUAGUUUCUGCAAAUAGAGUGGAAAGUCUGUGCAGCUGUGGUCUCUGGAGUGAGCAUUGAUUGGUGCGGUCGGUCAUUUGGGGCCCGAAAUGGGAGAAAGGGAAGAAUAUCGAUUCACUCGACGAUUGAAGAUCUGUUAGAUCCAUUAAAAGUGUAUGUGCUGAAGAGGCCAGUGUCAUAGCCGGAGAUUGUGUGGUGGAAGUCGUGUCACACGGUGCGGUGUGGGGGACGAAGGACAGACAGACAAGCGAAAACAGAAGAAGAAUUUGUUGUUGGAGCUGUGUUGCAGAGAAACGAAUAAGUUACGGAGCAUAAGAGUGGUGAGCAGUAAGGGUGUGCGGUAUGGAUUUUUUUUCGGCAACGCGAUACGGAACUUAACGUUAUGUAGAAUUCCUGAUGCUGUCGGAGAUAAAGAGCUCGUGGCUCCAGUCCCCAUGUGAGUGCAGCAGCCAGCGGUGCGGUAGUGUUCAGUGAACAGCUAGCUGUUACGAAAUCGCAAACGGGCAGCCUUGGCGAAUGAGAAGCAAAGCGAAAAUAAAAGCAGUUCAGCG